This 481-nucleotide ribosomal RNA is filed under the name Acrobeloides sp. Sourhope farm. RNAcentral's name for it is "SSU rRNA". It matches the Rfam family "Eukaryotic small subunit ribosomal RNA", at positions 48 to 527 of the family's 1831-position model. Lineage: Eukaryota; Metazoa; Nematoda; Chromadorea; Rhabditida; Cephalobidae. The record is from RNAcentral.
GCCAUGCAUGUCUAAGUAUAAACGAUUUAAUCGUGAAACCGCGAAUGGCUCAUUAUAACAGCUAUAAUUUACUUGAUCUUGACACAAUCCUACUUGGAUAACUGUGGUAAUUCUAGAGCUAAUACAUGCAUUAAAGCUCUGACCUCACGGGAAGAGUGCAUUUAUUAGAACAAAACCAAGCGGCUUCGGCUGUUUCUGGUUGACUCAUAGUAACUGAGCUGAUCGCAUGGUCUUGCACCGGCGACGUGUCUUUCAAGUAUCUGCCGUAUCAACUUUCGAUGGUAGUGUAUCUGACUACCAUGGUGAUCACGCGUAACGGAGAAUAAGGGUUCGGCUCCGGAGAGUUCGCCUGAGAAAUCGCGAACACAUCUAAGGAAGGCAGCAGGCGCGAAAAUUACCCACUCUCAGCACGAGGAGGUAGUGACGAAAAAUAACGAGACCGUUCUCUUAUGAGGCCGGUCAUCGGAAUGGGUACUAUUUA